RNAcentral lists this unclassified non-coding RNA (3724 nucleotides) under Hevea brasiliensis (rubber tree). Lineage: Eukaryota; Viridiplantae; Streptophyta; Magnoliopsida; Malpighiales; Euphorbiaceae. The record is from RNAcentral.
CCUGGGAAGUUCUCCAUUCCACCUGUGGGACAAAACCGUGAGGCUUAUGACCAAAGCGGAUAAUUCCUCUAAUGGUUGGAGUUUGACUGUUACAAAUCCAAACCCCCUUGCUAAAUCUCUCUCAAAUGUUCCUAUAAUUCCUACAUAGCCUACUAUUGUCCUAAUCCUGCACCCCACUUACUUGUGUACAAAGCUCUGAGAACCUUUCCUCGGGGAGUCAUCACUACUGUAGCAGGAUGAUUAGAAAUCAUCCAUUUCUGUGUUCUUUCAUCUAAUCCUAUGCAUUGGGGUGUGCUUAUCCUUAACCUGCACUAUUAGAAUUUGUUCGAGAUUGGCCAAGUAUUGGUCAUGGCAGCGCUACGCACAAGGGUAUGAUCUUUUCUUUCAGUGCCCAAUUUAAUCAUUUAUUUUUUUAAUAUUGAUGAAAUUUGUUUUUUGUUCUUUAAUUUUAUUGAAUUUUUUUGGUGGGUUAUUGCGUUUUACUUUAUUUUCAACAAAAUUUUGCUGAGUUUGUUUUCAUUUGCUUCAAAUCUCUGUUUUUGAUUUUGUUCAUUUGAUCAAAUUUUCAAGUUUAUGUAUUUGUUAUUAAAUUGUUGAAUGAAAUAAUAGCUUUUGAGAAGCCUAUAUUGACACUAUUUUUUUCUUUUUUGAAAGAUACUUUCAUUGCAGAAAAGGCUGAAGGCCCAAUUCUACUAUAAUUUACCCUAGCUAAAAACCAAUAAACAAUUAUAGCUCAUAACUAGGCAGAUCAAGGCUUGAGUAAAAAAAACCCUAAAAGCUAUCCUAAACCGGAACUAGGAAAAGGCCUAGAAGCCUAAAACGAAUAGAGUCCUAGCUAUACAGCAAGACUUUCAUCUGGGAACCAGAACCAACGCCACCAUCCAAGAAGAAGCUUUUACAUUACCAGUAGGGAAGAUGAUCGAACAGGAGAAAAGCACUAAGGAAUCAAAAUACGAUUAAGCGUAUAGAUAGACUAUUCCUCUCAGGCAUCCUUGAAGUUUAAGACUAACAAUAGAACCUAUGAGCAUUGAUAAUGGAGAGCCACUAAGCCUAGAUGGUGUAUCGAGAAAACGUGUAGGUAGACUAAGGAAACUUCGCAUUGGUACCAAGGCAAGUAGAGCACAUUGGCUAUAGGGCUAUUUGACGUCCCACUUAUACCUUCUUAACUAAUCUCCUAGAUUGCUUCCCACAAGCAACACCACUAAUUGCAUGUAAUUCAUGCCAAAUUAGUUUCAAAGAGGAAUACGCCAAUGCUUCAAGCUUCCAAACCCACACCAAAACACCACAAACCUCCAAAAACCACACAUGUAAUCAUCAACAAGGUUACUUAGGUCUGCAAAGACACCUCACCAAUUCAAGCGUCAGACCUUCGAAAACACCAAAACACCCAUAUUUACAACCACCACCCAACACUUGGAAUGAGAAAUACCCACUGUCGGGCAGAGGGGAAGGGGGCCCCUGCCCGUGAGGAGCAGAGGAACAGCUAAAUCGGUAGAAAAAAAAAGGGUUUGAAAACCUUAGCUCAAGGAACCAAUGAAACUAGAGAGAGAAAAGAGAGAAGGGGAACCUUCGAUACUUUUGUUUGUUUCUAUUUUCAGUUGGAACUUGUUUUGAAGGAAAAAGUUUUUUAUUUUUCAAGUUUCAAAAUUUUUAAUAUAUAUAUAUAUUUUUAACCAUAUCCAUAAUACACAUCUAACAAUAAUUCCAAUAAUUCCUAUAAAUUAAAAAAAAAAUUUCAUACCAUAAGCAACAGCUGCAGCAGCAGCUAACAACAACAAAUUAAUCACAAGCAAGAGGAAAGAACUAUAUUAUGGAUAUUUGCCCUUGUAUAUAUGAUUACAUCACUUGUUUACUAAUAAUUGCUGGAAGAACAUUCACUGAUAAAAUCCUAAUGCAAUAAUGAAUUAAAUUCUGUUCAAGUUUCUCCUACAUACCCAGAAAAAGUAUACUUGUAAUCAUCCCCAUCCGCAAAACCAAUACUAGGAUCCUUUCCCUCCCUAGUUAUCCUCCUAACUCUCUCUAUCCUAUCAAGAAUUCCCUUGACUGCUAAAUCAAAUGCAUCUUCAGUGGUUCCCAUUCUAGACCUGGGGUCUGCAUAUAUAAUUCUUGGAAUAAGCUUUAUAAUCUCCUCUCUCAGAGCCAAUACCCUAUCUUCUGGUAUUUUAAGUAAGGUCUCAUUUAUGCCAGCUUUCCAAUCUUUAGCAUCUCUCACAGGUAUAUACACAGAAUAUUUACUAUAAUUCUUUGGUAAAUGCCACUUAUAUUGUGCAUAGGCAGUACCUGGAUGAAAGAAAACUGGAAUGCACCCUGCCAAAAUUGAAUCGAAUAUGGAUCGCCUAGUGUAUGAAUCUCCUGGAGGUUGCAAGCAAAAAACUGAAUUCUGAAACAACCUCAUCACAUUCACUGGAUUAUCACAAUUAAUAGCACCAUUAACACCAUAAUCACACUCUAACAACUUGCACAAGUUGUUUGAAGCUAUGCAUUCCUCAAUAAUCUUGCCUCUGACAGACCCUAGAAGAUCAGGCCUCGGAGCACCAGCAAAAGAAAACAGGUAUGGUCUUGUUUGUCUUCUCAUCUUAUCUUGCCAUUGAAACACCUCACUGUCUUUUGAGGGAUGAAAACAAGUUGGAUAUGGUAUAGCAUAAUCAUUGUUCCAAGAACUAGACUCAAUUGCCAACAUUGACAUGUUAUUAGAUUCUGGCAAGAACCUAAGCUUGCUACCCCAAUCAGACUCAUUAUCAGUUUGCCUUCUAAAAUCCCAAGCAAUCCUCCCUGCAACCAAGAAAUGGUCUCUACCCAACAUUUUCUUCCACUCAGGUUUUUCAACAAGCCACUUGACAAGAUCAUAACCAGAUUGAUCUCUCACUGAUGUUUUAACACCCCAAAGAUAUCUGCUAACAUCAAGACCCGCAUAAAAUGGCACAUAAAUAGCUGAAGCAAGGGAAGAAUCAUUGGUUAAGCACUUGUAUUUCUUCAUCCUAAAGUGGAAUAUGACUUCCAACAAGAAUUGAUUAGUAGAGUACCAACUCUUAUUUAACAAAAUUCCUUGAGAAUUUUCUACUUCAUGACCCAGAGCAGAAUUAACCAAAUAUGGACAAAUGUUAUGCUCAGUCCCUCUGUUAAUUGACUCACAAUUUUCAAUCAAUUCUUGGUUGAAUCGGCUAGGAAGACGAUGAAUAAAAAUGUAUCGACCCAAACAAGAAUCUUUAACAGAUUUUUGUUGCACAUUAUCCUCUCUAAGAUAAUCAGAUUUCAUGGGUCCAAUGGAGGUUUCAUUGACAUUUUCAGGGAGUUGGAGGGAUUUCGAUUUGUGGGUAGAGAUUGAAUCUUCAUAAUUACUGACAGAAACAGAUACCCUUUCUUGGGUUCCAGUUAGAGCUGAAUAAUCAAAGCAAAACAAUACAAAGCAGAAAACAAAGGAGACAAGAAUGACCAACCAGAGAUGAUUGUUGCAGCAAUAUCUGGUGACUGGCUUCUCCAUCUUCUUUUGAUUGAUAGGCCUUCCAAAAAGAAGCAGAAACAAGUGUGAAAUAAUAGUUUUCUUGGAUCAAAAUGCACAAUUCUGGCUGGUAAAGUGGAAGGGAAAGAUGAAAAAGAAUUAAAGCUAAAGCUGGGUUUGGAUCUUGGAAUGGAUUAUCAGAGUUUUUUGUAUGGAUUCGUGCCUAGCUUUAAUUGUGAGGGUUACUUUCCCAUCGCAAAUUCAGGGUUGUUAAUAAGAGAAGGA